GAUGAACGCUGGCGGCGUGCUUAACACAUGCAAGUCGAACGGAAAGGCCAGUGCUUGCACUGGUGCUCGAGUGGCGAACGGGUGAGUAACACGUGGGUGAUCUGCCCUGCACUUUGGGAUAAGCCUGGGAAACUGGGUCUAAUACCAGAUAGGACCAUGCUUUGGAUGGUGUGGUGGAAAGUUUUUUCGGUGUGGGAUGAGCUUGCGGCCUAUCAGCUUGUUGGUGGGGUAAUGGCCUACCAAGGCGUCGACGGGUAGCCGGCCUGAGAGGGUGUACGGCCACAUUGGGACUGAGAUACGGCCCAGACUCCUACGGGAGGCAGCAGUGGGGAAUAUUGCACAAUGGGCGCAAGCCUGAUGCAGCGACGCCGCGUGGGGGAUGACGGCCUUCGGGUUGUAAACUCCUUUCGCAACUGACGAAGCUUUUUGUGUCGGUAGGUUGAGAAGAAGCACCGGCUAACUACGUG
RNAcentral lists this ribosomal RNA (467 nucleotides) under uncultured bacterium. RNAcentral describes it as "partial 16S ribosomal RNA". It matches the Rfam family "Bacterial small subunit ribosomal RNA", at positions 28 to 507 of the family's 1533-position model. The record is from RNAcentral.